GCCCGGCUAGCUCAAUCGGUAGAGCGUGAGACUCUUAAUCUCAAGGUUGUGGGUUCGACCCGUAAGUUCACCGUCGCCGACAUGGAGGUUGGUCACGACAGAUUGUCUAACAUGCAACAGCCACGUCGGGCUCA
Colletotrichum liriopes is the source of this 134-nucleotide non-coding RNA. The record is from the annotation of a GenBank genome assembly. NCBI's taxonomy places the organism in Eukaryota, Fungi, Ascomycota, Sordariomycetes, Glomerellales, Glomerellaceae.